ACGGCUCAGUAACACGUAGUCAACAUGCCCAAGGGACGUGGAUAACCUCGGGAAACUGAGGAUAAACCUCGAUAGGCCAAGAUUUCUGGAAUGGAUCAUGGCUGAAAUCUAUAUGGCCCUUGGAUUGGACUGCGGCCGAUCAGGCUGUUGGUGAGGUAAUGGCCCACCAAACCUAUAACCGGUACGGGCUUUGAGAGAAGGAGCCCGGAGAUGGGCACUGAGACACGAAUCCAGGCCCUACGGGGCGCAGCAGGCGCGAAAACUCUACAAUGCAGGCAACUGCGAUAGGGGAACAUCGAGUGAUCCUCAUAUUGGGGGUCUGUCCACCCGUCUAAAAAACGGGUGUUAGCAAGGGCCGGGCAAGACCGGUGCCAGCCGCCGCGGUAAUACCGGCGGCUCGAGUGGUGGCCGAUAUUAUUGAGUCUAAAGGGUCCGUAGCCGGCUUUGCAAGUCUCUCGGGAAAUCCAGCGGCUUAACCGUUGGUCGUCCGGGGGGUACUACAUUGCUUGGGACUGGGAGAGGUAGGAGGUACUCAGGGGGUAGGAGUGAAAUCCUGUAAUCCUUUGGGGACCACCGGUGGCGAAGGCGUCCUACCAGAACAGGUCCGACGGUGAGGGACGAAAGCUAGGGGCACGAACCGGAUUAGAUACCCGGGUAGUCCUAGCCGUAAACGAUGCUCGCUAGGUGUCACAACAGUCGUGAAUUGUUGUGGUGCCGUAGGGAAGCCGUGAAGCGAGCCACUUGGGAAGUACGACCGCAAGGUUGAAACUUAAAGGAAUUGGCGGGGGAG
This 790-nucleotide ribosomal RNA is filed under the name uncultured archaeon. RNAcentral describes it as "bacterial SSU rRNA". It matches the Rfam family "Archaeal small subunit ribosomal RNA", at positions 85 to 876 of the family's 1478-position model. The record is from RNAcentral.